AAGAUGGCGACCGGCGCACGGGUGAGUAACACGUAUCCAACCUGUCGAUAACUCUGGAAUAGCCUUUCGAAAGAAAGAUUAAUACCGGAUAGUAUACGAAUAUCGCAUGAUAUUUUUAUUAAAGAAUUUCGGUUAUCGAUGGGGAUGCGUUCCAUUAGUUUGUUGGCGGGGUAACGGCCCACCAAGACUACGAUGGAUAGGGGUUCUGAGAGGAAGGUCCCCCACAUUGGAACUGAGACACGGUCCAAACUCCUACGGGAGGCAGCAUG
This 269-nucleotide ribosomal RNA is filed under the name uncultured bacterium. Its description in RNAcentral is "partial 16S ribosomal RNA". It matches the Rfam family "Bacterial small subunit ribosomal RNA", at positions 85 to 353 of the family's 1533-position model. The record is from RNAcentral.